UAGUCCACGCUGUAAACGAUGUCGAUUUGAAGGUUGUUCCCUUGAGGAGUGGCUUUCGGAGCUAACGCGUUAAAUCGACCGCCUGGGGAGUACGGCCGCAAGGUUAAAACUCAAAUGAAUUGACGGGGGCCCGCACAAGCGGUGGAGCAUGUGGUUUAAUUCGAUGCAACGCGAAGAACCUUACCUACUCUUGACAUCCAGAGAAUUUAGCAGAGAUGCUUUAGUGCCUUCGGGAACUCUGAGACAGGUGCUGCAUGGCUGUCGUCAGCUCGUGUUGUGAAAUGUUGGGUUAAGUCCCGCAACGAGCGCAACCCUUAUCCUUUGUUGCCAGCGAUUCGGUCGGGAACUCAAAGGAGACUGCCGGUGAUAAACCGGAGGAAGGUGGGGAUGACGUCAAGUCAUCAUGGCCCUUACGAGUAGGGCUACACACGUGCUACAAUGGCGUAUACAAAGAGAAGCGACCUCGCGAGAGCAAGCGGAACUCAUAAAGUGCGUCGUAGUCCGGAUUGGAGUCUGCAACUCGACUCCAUGAAGUCGGAAUCGCUAGUAAUCGUAGAUCAGAAUGCUACGGUGAAUACGUUCCCGGGCCUUGUACACACCGCCCGUCACACCAUGGGAGUGGGUUGCAAAAGAAGUAGGUAGCUUAACCUUCGGGAGGGCGCUUACCACUUUGUGAUUCAUGACUGGG
This 688-nucleotide ribosomal RNA is filed under the name Providencia vermicola. Its description in RNAcentral is "bacterial SSU rRNA". It matches the Rfam family "Bacterial small subunit ribosomal RNA", at positions 791 to 1479 of the family's 1533-position model. The record is from RNAcentral. Lineage: Bacteria; Pseudomonadati; Pseudomonadota; Gammaproteobacteria; Enterobacterales; Morganellaceae.